RNAcentral lists this ribosomal RNA (403 nucleotides) under Verrucomicrobiota bacterium. RNAcentral describes it as "Verrucomicrobia bacterium partial 16S ribosomal RNA". It matches the Rfam family "Bacterial small subunit ribosomal RNA", at positions 355 to 776 of the family's 1533-position model. Lineage: Bacteria; Pseudomonadati; Verrucomicrobiota. The record is from RNAcentral.
UGGGGAAUAUUGCACAAUGGGCGCAAGCCUGAUGCAGCAACGCCGCGUGAACGAUGAAGGUCUUCGGAUCGUAAAGUUCUGUUGCAGGGGAAGAUAAUGACGGUACCCUGUGAGGAAGCCCCGGCUAACUACGUGCCAGCAGCCGCGGUAAUACGUAGGGGGCUAGCGUUAUCCGGAUUUACUGGGCGUAAAGGGUGCGUAGGUGGUCUUUCAAGUCGGUGGUUAAAGGCUACGGCUCAACCGUAGUUAGCCUCCGAAACUGGAAGACUUGAGUGCAGGCGAGGAAAGUGGAAUUCCCAGUGUAGCGGUGAAAUGCGUAGAUAUUGGGAGGAACACCAGUAGCGAAGGCGGCUAUCUGGACAGUAACUGACGCUGAGGCGCGAAAGCGUGGGUAGCAAACAGG